AUUGAACGCUGGCGGCAGGCCUAACACAUGCAAGUCGAACGAGUGGCGGACGGGUGAGUAAUGUCUGGGAAACUGCCAGAUGGAGGGGGAUAACUACUGGAAACGGUAGCUAAUACCGCAUACCAUCGGAUGUGCCCAGAUGGGAUUAGCUAGUAGGUUGGGUAACGGCUCACCUAGGCGACGAUCCCUAGCUGGUCUGAGAGGAGGACCAGCCACAUUGGAACUGAGACACGGUCCAGACUCCUACGUGAGGCAGCAGUGGGGAAUAUUGCGCAAUGGGCGCAAGCCUGAUGCAGCCAUGCCGCGUGAAUGAAGAAGGCCUUCGGGUUGUAAAGUACUUUCGGCGAGGAGGCGUUACUCGCAGAAGAAGCAACGGCUAACUCCGUGCCAGCAGCCGCGGUAAUUC
Molecule: ribosomal RNA, 406 nt
Filed under: uncultured bacterium
Lineage: Bacteria
Description: partial 16S ribosomal RNA
Rfam family: Bacterial small subunit ribosomal RNA
Source: RNAcentral